Molecule: ribosomal RNA, 253 nt
Filed under: uncultured bacterium
Lineage: Bacteria
Description: partial 16S ribosomal RNA
Rfam family: Bacterial small subunit ribosomal RNA
Source: RNAcentral
UACGUAGGGUGCGAGCGUUGUCCGGAAUUAUUGGGCGUAAAGAGCUCGUAGGCGGUUUGUCGCGUCUGCCGUGAAAGUCCGGGGCUCAACUCCGGAUCUGCGGUGGGUACGGGCAGACUAGAGUGAUGUAGGGGAGACUGGAAUUCCUGGUGUAGCGGUGAAAUGCGCAGAUAUCAGGAGGAACACCGGUGGCGAAGGCGGGUCUCUGGGCAACAACUGACGCUGAGGAGCGAAAGCGUGGGGAGCGAACAGG